This 521-nucleotide long non-coding RNA is filed under the name Homo sapiens (human). RNAcentral describes it as "HSALNT0373053". The record is from RNAcentral. Lineage: Eukaryota; Metazoa; Chordata; Mammalia; Primates; Hominidae.
CAGAAAUCUAGGGUUCAGAGGUCCAGGAUGAAAGUUUCAGUGACCUCUUGGGAGGUUACCAAGGAGGAAAUGGUUCAUAUGCUUGCUACCUUCCAAACAGCUCUUCAGGCAGAAGCAGGUACACAGACAGUGCUGGCGGAAAAACCUGAGAAGCAGCUAUCAGUAUUAGACCACAUACGAAAGCCUCUUCGGGACAUUUGCAAGCAUCCAGAGCAGAGAUGAUUUGUUUCUAUGGCAUUACGUUCUUAACCAAGUUCCAGAAUGACUCUCCGGCCCUGGAUUGGGCGACUUUGUUGUCUGUGCUUCUGAUUCAUAGAAAGAGGGAAUAUUAGGGGAAGAGGUUGGAAUAUGACAGCUAUACUUACUGGUUUCUUGUGCCUUCUCCCAGAGAUAUUCUUUGCUUCUAUAGGCAGAUUUUGAUUUAAAGCAAAUAUUGAAUUAUCCUUUGGUCCUGCUGUGUGUGUUUGAAGUGCUCGCGGAUCAUCCAAGUGGAGAGAGCACCGAGUAGGCCCUCCUUACUU